This 486-nucleotide ribosomal RNA is filed under the name uncultured bacterium. RNAcentral describes it as "partial 16S ribosomal RNA". It matches the Rfam family "Bacterial small subunit ribosomal RNA", at positions 29 to 507 of the family's 1533-position model. The record is from RNAcentral.
AUUGAACGCUGGCGGCAUGCUUUACACAUGCAAGUCGAGCGGCAGCGCGGGGGCAACCCUGGCGGCGAGCGGCGAACGGGUGAGUAAUGCAUCGGAACGUAUCCUCGAGUGGGGGAUAACCCAGCGAAAGUUGGGCUAAUACCGCAUGAGCUCUGAGGAGGAAAGCGGGGGACCUGCGAGGGCCUCGCGCUGGCGGAGCGGCCGAUGUCCGAUUAGCUAGUUGGUGGGGUAAAGGCUUACCAAGGCGACGAUCGGUAGCUGGUCUGAGAGGAUGAUCAGCCACACUGGGACUGAGACACGGCCCAGACUCCUACGGGAGGCAGCAGUGGGGAAUUUUGGACAAUGGGGGCAACCCUGAUCCAGCCAUGCCGCGUGAGUGAAGAAGGCCUUCGGGUUGUAAAGCUCUUUCGGACGGAACGAAAUGGGCGGGACUAAUACUCCUGUCUGAUGACGGUACCGGAAGAAGAAGCACCGGCUAACUACGUG